RNAcentral lists this ribosomal RNA (455 nucleotides) under uncultured bacterium. RNAcentral describes it as "SSU rRNA". It matches the Rfam family "Bacterial small subunit ribosomal RNA", at positions 26 to 518 of the family's 1533-position model. The record is from RNAcentral.
AGAAUCAACGCUGGCGGCGUGCCUAACACAUGCAAGUCGCACGAGAAAGGGGAGCAAUCCCUGAGUACAGUGGCGCACGGGUGAGUAACACGUGAAUGAUCUACCUCCGAGUGGGGAAUAACUGAGAGAAAUCUUAGCUAAUACCGCAUAAUACCCACGGGUCAAAGCAGUAAUGCGCUUGGAGAGGAGUUCGCGGCAGAUUAGUUAGUUGGCGGGGUAAUGGCCCACCAAGACGAUGAUCUGUAUCCGGCCUGAGAGGGCGCACGGACACACUGGAACUGAAACACGGUCCAGACUCCUACGGGAGGCAGCAGUGGGGAAUUUUGCGCAAUGGGGAAACCCUGACGCAGCAACGCCGCGUGGAGGAUGAAGCCCCUUGGGUCGUAACUCCUUUCGAUCGGGAAGAUAUGACGGUACCGAUAUAAGAGCCCGGCUAACUUCGCGCCAGCAGCCGC